This 614-nucleotide small RNA is filed under the name uncultured fungus. Its description in RNAcentral is "eukaryotic LSU rRNA". The stretch from base 234 to 387 matches the Rfam family "5.8S ribosomal RNA". Lineage: Eukaryota; Fungi. The record is from RNAcentral.
GGAAGGAUCAUUAUCGUACAAAAUGUGAGAAGCAUGCGAGGGCUGUCGCUGACCCAAAAGUCGUGCACGCCCGAGUGUGUUCUCUCACAUGAUCAAUCCAUCUCACCCUUUUGUGCAUCACCGCGUGGGCACCCUUCGGGAUCGUCUCGGAGGGGGCUCGCGUUUUCACACAAAACCCCCCUUUUAAAAAAGUGUAGAAUGACCUCAUUUAUGCGCUAACCCGCAAUCAAUACAACUUUCAACAACGGAUCUCUUGGCUCUCGCAUCGAUGAAGAACGCAGCGAAAUGCGAUACGUAAUGUGAAUUGCAGAAUUCAGUGAAUCAUCGAAUCUUUGAACGCACCUUGCGCCCCUUGGUAUUCCGAGGGGCACACCCGUUUGAGUGUCGUGAAAACCUCAACCUCCUUGGUUUCUUCUGGAGACCAAAGCAGGCUUGGACUUUGGAGGCCCUUUGCUGGCACCUCUCUUUUGAAGGCCAGCUCCUCUCAAAUGAAUUAGCAGGGUCCUCUUUGCUGAUCCUCGACGUGUGAUAAGAUGUUUCCAUGUCUUGGUUUCUGGCUCUGUCACCUUUGGGACCCGCUUCUAACCGUCUUGACCUUGCAUCGAGACAACGUU